GCAGCCUGAUGCAGCCAUGCCGCGUGUGUGAAGAAGGCCUUCGGGUUGUAAAGCACUUUCAGUCAGGAGGAAAGGUUAGUAGUUAAUACCUGCUAGCUGUGACGUUACUGACAGAAGAAGCACCGGCUAACUCCGUGCCAGCAGCCGCGGUAAUACGGAGGGUGCGAGCGUUAAUCGGAAUUACUGGGCGUAAAGCGUACGCAGGCGGUUUGUUAAGCGAGAUGUGAAAGCCCCGGGCUCAACCUGGGAACUGCAUUUCGAACUGGCAAACUAGAGUGUGAUAGAGGGUGGUAGAAUUUCAGGUGUAGCGGUGAAAUGCGUAGAGAUCUGAAGGAAUACCGAUGGCGAAGGCAGCCACCUGGGUCAACACUGACGCUCAUGUACGAAAGCGUGGGGAGCAAACAGGAUUAGAUACCCUGGUAGUCCACGCCGUAAACGAUGUCUACUAGAAGCUCGGAACCUCGGUUCUGUUUUUCAAAGCUAACGCAUUAAGUAGACCGCCUGGGGAGUACGGCCGCAAGGUUAAAACUCA
This 532-nucleotide ribosomal RNA is filed under the name Pseudoalteromonas undina. RNAcentral describes it as "bacterial SSU rRNA". It matches the Rfam family "Bacterial small subunit ribosomal RNA", at positions 378 to 903 of the family's 1533-position model. The record is from RNAcentral. Lineage: Bacteria; Pseudomonadati; Pseudomonadota; Gammaproteobacteria; Alteromonadales; Pseudoalteromonadaceae.